Molecule: ribosomal RNA, 404 nt
Filed under: uncultured soil bacterium
Lineage: Bacteria
Description: bacterial SSU rRNA
Rfam family: Bacterial small subunit ribosomal RNA
Source: RNAcentral
AGAACGAACGCUGGCGGCGUGGAUAAGACAUGCAAGUCGAACGGGAUUUGUUUUGUAGCAAUACAAGGCAAGUCCAGUGGCGUAAGGGUGCGUAACACGUGGGCAAUCUGCCGAGAAGUGGGGGAUAGCUCGCCGAAAGGCGAAUUAAUACCGCAUGUGGUUAGUGAGGACAUCCUCGCGACACCAAAGCCGGGGCAACCUGGCGCUUCUUGAUGAGCCCGCGGCCUAUCAGCUAGUUGGUGAGGUAACGGCUCACCAAGGCUAUGACGGGUAGCUGGUCUGAGAGGACGACCAGCCACACUGGAACUGAGACACGGUCCAGACACCGUACGGGUGCAGCAGUCGAGUAAUUUUCACAAGUACGGGGGAAACCCUGGAACGGAGCGGACGCCGGCGGUGGAGGA